This 813-nucleotide long non-coding RNA is filed under the name Homo sapiens (human). RNAcentral describes it as "HSALNT0055188". Lineage: Eukaryota; Metazoa; Chordata; Mammalia; Primates; Hominidae. The record is from RNAcentral.
CCAAUACCUAUUUCUCCCUCCAGCCUUCACACUCUUGUAGUUUAAGAAUGAGAUAAUCUUGUAGCUGCUGGGAGUUUCCAUGAAGGGGGACUGGCCCAGGAAUGAGGUCAACCAGAGAAAAGUAGAGCCCUGAGAGAGGGACUAGGUCCUGAAGACUUCAUUUAAGACACAGGAUCCAGCCUUGCUUGAUGUCAUUACUCCUAGACUUUCACGUACAAGAGCCAAAAAAUUGUCUUUUCUUCCCCCUUAACCCAGGGCUCCUGCAACCAAAAGAACACUUGACUGUGGCAUCUUUCCAGCCUCCUGUUAGCAGCUAGGUAAGGUGCCCCCAUGGCAAGGAGCUGCGGGCAGCCUCAAGAAACUGGGUGGCCUCUUAGGACCUGAGGGCAGCCUCCAACAAGCAAGCAGCAAACCUCUGGGGCCUUCUGUUCUACAACUGCAAGGAAAUAAAUUCUGCCAACAGCCUGAAUGAGCACGGAAGUGAACUCUUUCUCAGUCGAGCCUCUGAAUGAGAACACAGUUCAACUCAUGCCUUGACUGCAGCUUGUGAGAGUCUGAGAAGAGGACCAGGAGCAACUCUAGUUGACUCUCCACUCCCACGCUGCAGGAAUUGACGGCGCACAGGGAACAGUUUCUACUGCUGUCCUUCCCGUUACCUCCUCCAAUGGGGCUUCAGUCACCACCUCUCUGGAAGGUGAUGAUGGUCGGCAGCUCCAUAUCGCCAGCCGUGACUCUGCCCUGAAAUCUAGCCCAAGGGAGCCAACUGCCUGUUUUGUCAGAGACAACAUGCUGAUGGGGAAAGCUAGAUUUGAG